AAGGUAGCAAAAUCAAUUGUUCAUUAAUUGUGGACUGGUAUCAAUGGCUUGACGAUAGAAAAACUGUCUCUUUCUACUUCUUUAGAACUUUAUUAAAGAGUGAAGAAGCUCUUAUAAGUUAGCGGGACGAGAAGACCCCGUUGAGCUUUAGGUGCUUAAACUUACUCAAAAGUUUACCACUUUUGGUUGGGGCAACCGAUUUUAAUAUUAAACAAAAAUAAUCAAAAAAUGAAUUAAAUCUUAUCUUUAAGCCUUAAUUUUAAGAAAAUAUAAUAAGUUACCACGGGGAUAACAGCGUAAUUUUUUUUGAGAGUUCUUAUUGACAAAAAAGUUUGCGACCUCGAUGUU
This 348-nucleotide ribosomal RNA is filed under the name Ophiothrix trindadensis. RNAcentral's name for it is "partial 16S ribosomal RNA". It matches the Rfam family "Bacterial large subunit ribosomal RNA", at positions 1953 to 2533 of the family's 2925-position model. Lineage: Eukaryota; Metazoa; Echinodermata; Ophiuroidea; Amphilepidida; Ophiotrichidae. The record is from RNAcentral.